This is a non-coding RNA of Pelobates cultripes (western spadefoot toad), 565 nucleotides long. The record is from the annotation of a GenBank genome assembly. NCBI's taxonomy places the organism in Eukaryota, Metazoa, Chordata, Amphibia, Anura, Pelobatidae.
CAUAUUUACAAAAUCACUGCAGCCAUAAAUCCAUCCCCUCAUUUUUAUACCUGUGAGGUUUAUUAAAAAAUACACCAAAAAAAAUGAUUUUUUUUGUUAGGAUGUAUUAUUUUUUAUUUUCAUUUAAUGUAUUUUUGCCUUUUAUUGCAUUAUUUAUAUAGUGCAUUUAAACAGGAGUUAGAUCAAACCCAGGGUGUCCCUUUUGUUCUGCAUUGAAAUGUUUAGAGAUUGAUAUAUCUACCUUUUGCAUUUUCUGGUCUGGGCAUUUAGAAAGUUAAAGGGGCAUUUUGACAUUUUUUUUAAACCAACAAGCAAACCCUUUUAAACAAAUAUACAAACCAAAAUAAAGCAAAAAAACAUUGAAAGAUGUAUAAUAAACAGUCAUAAAAUCACUCUAAACUCAGUCAAAUUGCAUUAUUGGGCAUGUCUCCCAGCUAGUUUUUCAGCCUCCCUCUUCCCCACAGUUUCAGACCAGUCCACUAAAUACAGACACAGGGCAUUAUUGUGCAGCAGUAGGAGAGAGAAACCACAUACUGGAGCCUGGUCUGCUUGAAUCACACUGAUC